Molecule: ribosomal RNA, 253 nt
Filed under: uncultured bacterium
Lineage: Bacteria
Description: partial 16S ribosomal RNA
Rfam family: Bacterial small subunit ribosomal RNA
Source: RNAcentral
UACAGAGGGGGCAAGCGUUGUUCGGAAUUACUGGGCGUAAAGGGCGCGUAGGCGGCCGCCUAAGUCAGACGUGAAAUCCCUCGGCUCAACCGGGGAACUGCGUCUGGUACUGGGUGGCUUGAAUCCGGGAGAGGGAUGCGGAAUUCCAGGUGUAGCGGUGAAAUGCGUAGAUAUCUGGAGGAACACCGGUGGCGAAGGCGGCAUCCUGGACCGGCAUUGACGCUGAGGCGCGAAAGCCAGGGGAGCAAACGGG